UACGUAGGUGGCAAGCGUUGUCCGGAAUUACUGGGUGUAAAGGGAGCGCAGGCAGGAAGCCAAGUCAGCUGUGAAAACUACGGGCUUAACUUGUAGACUGCAGUUGAAACUGGUUUUCUUGAGUGAAGUAGAGGUUGGCGGAAUUCCGAGUGUAGCGGUGAAAUGCGUAGAUAUUCGGAGGAACACCGGUGGCGAAGGCGGCCAACUGGGCUUUAACUGACGCUGAGGCUCGAAAGUGUGGGGAGCAAACAGG
RNAcentral lists this ribosomal RNA (253 nucleotides) under uncultured bacterium. RNAcentral describes it as "partial 16S ribosomal RNA". It matches the Rfam family "Bacterial small subunit ribosomal RNA", at positions 524 to 776 of the family's 1533-position model. The record is from RNAcentral.